AAAACGACUCUCGGCAACGGAUAUCUCGGCUCUCACAUCGAUGAAGAACGUAGCGAAAUGCGAUACUUGGUGUGAAUUGCAGAAUCCCGUGAACCAUCGAGUCUUUGAACGCAAGUUGCGCCCCAAGCCGUUAGGCCGAGGGCACGCCUGCCUGGGUGUCACGC
Molecule: ribosomal RNA, 164 nt
Filed under: Acer campestre (hedge maple)
Lineage: Eukaryota; Viridiplantae; Streptophyta; Magnoliopsida; Sapindales; Sapindaceae
Also listed under: 1 other name
Description: 5.8S ribosomal RNA
Rfam family: 5.8S ribosomal RNA
About the family: 5.8S ribosomal RNA (5.8S rRNA) is a component of the large subunit of the eukaryotic ribosome. It is transcribed by RNA polymerase I as part of the 45S precursor that also contains 18S and 28S rRNA. Functionally, it is thought that 5.8S rRNA may be involved in ribosome translocation.
Source: RNAcentral